UGAAUACGAGACGCUAAGGCGUCGAAGUAGUGUAUGUCAUACUUCCAAGAAAAGCUUGCACUGUCAUAGAUAAAAAACGCCUGUACCAUAACCGACACAGGUGGGUAGGUAGAGUAUACUAAGGGGCGCGAGAUAACUCUCUCUAAGGAACUCGGCAAAAUAACUCCGUAACUUCGGGAGAAGGAGUGCCUUAUUUGUAAGGUUGCAAUAACAAGAUCCAAGCAACUGUUUAUCAAAAACACAGGUCUCCGCUAAGUCGUAAGACGAUGUAUGGGGGCUGACGCCUGCCCAGUGCCAGAAGGUUAAAGAAGUUGGUUAGCAAUUGCGAAGCUGAUAACUGAAGCCCUGGUGAACGGCGGCCGUAACUAUAACGGUCCUAAGGUAGCGAAAUUCCUUGUCGGGUAAGUUCCGACCCGCACGAAAGGCGUAAUGAUUUGGAUACUGUCUCGGAGAGGGGCUCGGUGAAAUAGACUUGUCUGUGAAGAUGCGGACUACCUGCACCAGGACAGAAAGACCCUAUGAAGCUUUACUGUAACUUGAAAUUGAAAUUGGACUUUAUUCGCGCAGUAUAGGUGGGAGGCGUUGAUUAUAAUCUUGUGGGAUUAUUGGAGCCAUCAGUGAGAUACCACUCUUGUAAUGUUAGAUUUCUAACUUUGAAUCAUUAUCUGGUCAAAGAACAGUUUCAGGCGGGCAGUUUGACUGGGGCGGUCGCCUCCUAAACGGUAACGGAGGCGUACAAAGGUUUCCUCUGAACGGUUAGAAAUCGUAUCUAGAGUGUAAAGGCAUAAGGAAGCUUGACUGUGAGACCUACAAGUCGAGCAGGGACGAAAGUCGGUCUUAGUGAUCUGACGGUACUGAGUGGAAAGGCCGUCACUCAACGGAUAAAAGUUACUCUAAGGAUAACAGGCUGAUCUCCCCCAAGAGUUCACAUCGACGGGGAGGUUUGGCACCUCGAUGUCGGCUCAUCGCAUCCUGGGGCGGUAGUACGUCCCAAGGGUUGGGCUGUUCGCCCAUGAAAGCGGUACGCGAGCUGGGUUCAGAACGUCGUGAGACAGUUCGGUCCAUAUCCGGUGUAGGCGUUAGAAUAUUGAGAGGAGCCUUCUUUAGUACGAGAGGACCGAGAAGGACAUACCUCUGGUGUACCAGUUAUCGUGCCAACGGUAAACGCUGGGUAGCUAUGUAUGGAGUGGAUAACCGCUGAAAGCAUCUAAGUGGGAAGCCCACCUCAAGAUAAGUAUUCUCAUC
RNAcentral lists this ribosomal RNA (1245 nucleotides) under metagenome. Its description in RNAcentral is "bacterial LSU rRNA". It matches the Rfam family "Bacterial large subunit ribosomal RNA", at positions 1564 to 2818 of the family's 2925-position model. The record is from RNAcentral.